UAGGGAAUCUUCGGCAAUGGACGGAAGUCUGACCGAGCAACGCCGCGUGAGUGAAGAAGGUUUUCGGAUCGUAAAGCUCUGUUGUAAGAGAAGAACGAGUGUGAGAGUGGAAAGUUCACACUGUGACGGUAACUUACCAGAAAGGGACGGCUAACUACGUGCCAGCAGCCGCGGUAAUACGUAGGUCCCGAGCGUUAUCCGGAUUUAUUGGGCGUAAAGCGAGCGCAGGCGGUUAGAUAAGUCUGAAGUUAAAGGCUGUGGCUUAACCAUGGUACGCUUUGGAAACUGUUUAACUUGAGUGCAGAAGGGGAGAGUGGAAUUCCAUGUGUAGCGGUGAAAUGCGUAGAUAUAUGGAGGAACACCGGUGGCGAAAGCGGCUCUCUGGUCUGUAACUGACGCUGAGGCUCGAAAGCGUGGGGAGCAAACAGGAUUAGAUACCCUGGUAGUCCACGCCGUNNCGAUGAGUGCUAGGUGUUGGGUCCUUUCCGGGACUCAGUGCCGCAGCUAACGCAUUAANCACUCCGCCUGGGGAGUACNACCGCAAGGUU
RNAcentral lists this ribosomal RNA (548 nucleotides) under uncultured bacterium. Its description in RNAcentral is "bacterial SSU rRNA". It matches the Rfam family "Bacterial small subunit ribosomal RNA", at positions 355 to 895 of the family's 1533-position model. The record is from RNAcentral.